This 258-nucleotide ribosomal RNA is filed under the name uncultured bacterium. RNAcentral describes it as "partial 16S ribosomal RNA". It matches the Rfam family "Bacterial small subunit ribosomal RNA", at positions 526 to 779 of the family's 1533-position model. The record is from RNAcentral.
CAGAGGGUGCGAGCGUUAAUCGGAAUUACUGGGCGUAAAGCGAGUGUAGGUGGCUCAUUAAGUCACAUGUGAAAUCCCCGGGCGUUAACCUGGAACGUGCAUGUGAUACUGGUGGUGCUAGAAUAUGUGAGAGGGAAGUAGAAUUCCAGGUGUAGCGGUGGAAAUAGCGUAGAGAUCUGGAGGAAUACCGAUGGCGAAGGCAGCUUCCUGGCAUAAUAUUGACACUGAGAUUCGAAAGCGUGGGUAGCAAACAGGAUU